CCCUCUCUUCUUCUCCCUUUCUCUUCUCUUAGGUGUUCUAUACACCCCUUCCUUGGGACUCGCAUCCCAAGGAGUUCCACAUCUAGAGGAGUUUAGAUGCCUCUUCCUUGCUGGUUUCUAGCAUUUGGUAGUUGCACAUAGCAAGAAAAAACUCUAGAGAAUAAGAGAAAAAGAAGAUCAAGGACAAAGAUCAAGUAUUGAUCGUGAUCCAGACUUUGUUCAGAUUCAGCAGGCUGAAUUUUGGAGAAUCAAAAUUUAGAUUAUAGAGGGCUGUUUCAGGCUGAUCCCGAGUGGAUACUCAUAGAAACACAUAUGCAUGCACCA
This 324-nucleotide long non-coding RNA is filed under the name Elaeis guineensis (African oil palm). Its description in RNAcentral is "long non-coding RNA (EGUI_LNC057838)". Lineage: Eukaryota; Viridiplantae; Streptophyta; Magnoliopsida; Arecales; Arecaceae. The record is from RNAcentral.